Molecule: ribosomal RNA, 2921 nt
Filed under: Lactiplantibacillus plantarum
Lineage: Bacteria; Bacillati; Bacillota; Bacilli; Lactobacillales; Lactobacillaceae
Description: 23S ribosomal RNA
Rfam family: Bacterial large subunit ribosomal RNA
Source: RNAcentral
GGUUAAGUUAACAAGGGCGCAUGGUGAAUGCCUUGGCACUAGGAGCCGAUGAAGGACGGGACUAACACCGAUAUGCUUCGGGGAGCUGUACGUAAGCUAUGAUCCGGAGAUUUCCGAAUGGGGCAACCCAGCAGUUUUAAUCAACUGUUACCACUAGAUGAAUUCAUAGUCUAGUUGGAGGUAAACGCUGUGAACUGAAACAUCUCAUUAGCAGCAGGAAUAUAAAGAAAUUUCGAUUCCCUAAGUAGCGGCGAGCGAACGGGGAACAGCCCAAACCAAAGUGCUUGCACUUUGGGGUUGUAGGACUGAACAUUUGAGUUACCAAAGAACUUGAUAGUCGAAGGAUUUGGGAAAAUCCGCCAUAGAUGGUGAUAGCCCAGUAGAUUAAAUCAAAUUCUCUCAGUUCAGGAUCCUGAGUACGGCGGAACACGUGAAAUUCCGUCGGAAUCCGGGAGGACCAUCUCCCAAGGCUAAAUACUACCUAGUGACCGAUAGUGAACCAGUACCGUGAGGGAAAGGUGAAAAGCACCCCGGGAGGGGAGUGAAAUAGUUCCUGAAACCAUGUGCCUACAAUAAGUCAGAGCGCGUUAAUGCGUGAUGGCGUGCCUUUUGUAGAAUGAACCGGCGAGUUAUGAUCCCGUGCAAGGUUAAGACUAAAAAGUCGGAGCCGUAGCGAAAGCGAGUCUGAAAUGGGCGUUUUGAGUACGAGGUUAUAGACCCGAAACCAGGUGACCUAUCCAUGUCCAGGUUGAAGGUGCGGUAAAACGCACUGGAGGACCGAACCCGUGUAAGUUGAAAAUUGCUGGGAUGAGGUGUGGAUAGCGGUGAAAUUCCAAACGAACUUGGAGAUAGCUGGUUCUCUCCGAAAUAGCUUUAGGGCUAGCCUCGGAAUUAGGAUCAUGGAGGUAGAGCACUAUUUGGACUAGGGGCCCGUCUUGGGUUACUGAAUUCAGAUAAACUCCGAAUGCCAUUGAUUCAUAUCCGGGAGUCAGACGAUGAGUGAUAAGAUCCACCGUCGAAAGGGGAACAGCCCAGACCAUCAGUUAAGGUCCCUAAAUGUAUGCUAAGUGGAAAAGGAUGUGGAGUUGCAUAGACAACUAGGAUGUUGGCUCAGAAGCAGCCACCAUUUAAAGAGUGCGUAAUAGCUCACUAGUCGAGUGAUCCUGCGCCGAAAAUGUACCGGGGCUAAGCAUACUACCGAAACCAUGGAUGCGACCAUUAGGUCGCGUGAUAGGAGAGCGUUCUAAGGGCGGUGAAGCAAGAUCGUGAGGACUUGUGGAGCGCUUAGAAGUGAGAAUGCCGGUAUGAGUAGCGAAAGAUAGGUGAGAAUCCUAUCCACCGAAUGACUAAGGUUUCCUGGGGAAGGCUCGUCCUCCCAGGGUUAGUCGGGACCUAAGUCGAGGCCGAGAGGCGUAGACGAUGGAUAACAGGUUGAGAUUCCUGUACUAGUUAAGUGCGUUUGAGCAAUGGAGGGACGCAGGAGGCUAAGAUGUGCAUUCUGUUGGAUUAGAAUGUCCAAGCAGUAAGUCUUGUGAAGAGUCAAAUGUUUUUCACUUUAAGGACAAGCUGUGAUGGGGAGCGAAAUUUAGUAGCGAAGCGUCUGAUGUCACACUGCCGAGAAAAGCUUCUAGUGAGUACUUAACUACCCGUACCGCAAACCGACACAGGUAGUCGAGGAGAGAAUCCUAAGGUGAGCGAGUGAACUCUCGUUAAGGAACUCGGCAAAAUGACCCCGUAACUUCGGGAGAAGGGGUGCUGAUCGCAAGAUCAGCCGCAGUGAAUAGGCCCAGGCGACUGUUUAUCAAAAACACAGGUCUCUGCAAAAUCGUAAGAUGACGUAUAGGGGCUGACGCCUGCCCGGUGCUGGAAGGUUAAAAGGAUGGGUUAGCUUCGGCGAAGCUCAGAAUUGAAGCCCCAGUAAACGGCGGCCGUAACUAUAACGGUCCUAAGGUAGCGAAAUUCCUUGUCGGGUAAGUUCCGACCCGCACGAAAGGCGUAACGAUCUGGGCACUGUCUCAACGAGAGACUCGGUGAAAUUAUAUUGUCCGUGAAGAUGCGGACUACCCGCGACAGGACGGAAAGACCCCAUGGAGCUUUACUGUAGCUUGAUAUUGAGUGUUUGUACAGCUUGUACAGGAUAGGUAGGAGCCAUAGAAACCGGAACGCUAGUUUCGGUGGAGGCGUUGGUGGGAUACUACCCUCGCUGUAUGACCACUCUAACCCGCACCACUAAUCGUGGUGGGAGACAGUGUCAGGUGGGCAGUUUGACUGGGGCGGUCGCCUCCUAAAAAGUAACGGAGGCGCCCAAAGGUUCCCUCAGAAUGGUUGGAAAUCAUUCGCAGAGUGUAAAGGCACAAGGGAGCUUGACUGCGAGACAGACAGGUCGAGCAGGGACGAAAGUCGGGCUUAGUGAUCCGGUGGUACCGUAUGGAAGGGCCAUCGCUCAACGGAUAAAAGCUACCCUGGGGAUAACAGGCUUAUCUCCCCCAAGAGUCCACAUCGACGGGGAGGUUUGGCACCUCGAUGUCGGCUCAUCGCAUCCUGGGGCUGUAGUCGGUCCCAAGGGUUGGGCUGUUCGCCCAUUAAAGCGGUACGCGAGCUGGGUUCAGAACGUCGUGAGACAGUUCGGUCCCUAUCCGUCGCGGGCGUAGGAAAUUUGAGAGGACCUGUCCUUAGUACGAGAGGACCGGGAUGGACAUACCUCUGGUGUACCAGUUGUGCCGCCAGGCGCAUCGCUGGGUAGCUACGUAUGGAUGUGAUAAACGCUGAAAGCAUCUAAGUGUGAAACACACCUCGAGAUGAGAUUUCCCAUUCCUUUAUGGAAGUAAGACCCCUGAAAGAUGAUCAGGUAGAUAGGUUAGAAGUGGCAGUGCGGUGACGCAUGAAGCGGACUAAUACUAAUCGGUCGAGGACUUAACCAA